UUUGGAAUUGGGAUUCUCAAAUAUGAUACAAAAUCACUUGCAGGAUAGCAUUUAUGUCAUUUUAUAAAUUCAUACUUAGGCGACUUCGUAAAUUAAGGCGCUGUUAAAGGAAUUAUCUACACAUUAUGAACACAUUUCGAGUAAUGGUGUCAAUCAAGCAGGUCGUUAUUGUUUCUGCGCUUGUGAGUUUCUGUGGUGCAUAUAAAGAGGAGGAACGUGUCUCAUGUCCAUCGUGCAUGCAUGUGUAUUACAAGGUAUCAAACGUUCCGUCGAACUACAAAACCAUGAUCUAUCGAAUCAUGUCAGACCGGAAUUAGGUAAACAAAGAAUGCGCACGUAACACGAUCGAACCGGAUGUGUGUCCGCGACCUCUGAUCCCAAGAUUUUUAGAGAACACGUGUCAACACACUACUCGUACAAUAGUUGCCAAGGGACUGAAAAAUAUAUCUGCGAAUGCAAAACUUAAGAUGACGUUUAUAGUCCGUCAGUGUGCCAUGGUACCUGCGGGGCAGACGUCCGGAUGUACAGACCUGAUGGCACUCCCUGAAAGUGUAAGGACCGGGAUUAUGGCGCCCAUCAAAAGACUGGAGAAAUCUUGGACCAACGUGACCCAAACUUAUCAGAUCUGCAAAGUACUAGCAUAAAGGCGACCUUUGCCUAAUCUUCAACAACAAGUGAAUAAAAUAUUAUUCUUUUAAAGUCUACAAUUGAAAUUUAUAUAACAUAUGUUCAUUUAUUUUGAAAUCUUGAACAGAGUGACGCCAAUAUAUAACACACUGAAUCCUCAACAAAAAUGAAUACGUUAACAUUUCCUGUUAAACAAUUUACUCAGUAUGUUUAUUAAAUUUCACAUUUUCAUCGUUGACCUGUA
This is a long non-coding RNA of Dreissena polymorpha, 871 nucleotides long. RefSeq lists it as uncharacterized. The record is from RefSeq and is a predicted model, not a curated record. Lineage: Eukaryota; Metazoa; Mollusca; Bivalvia; Myida; Dreissenidae. The transcript has 3 exons.